Molecule: long non-coding RNA, 266 nt
Filed under: Elaeis guineensis (African oil palm)
Lineage: Eukaryota; Viridiplantae; Streptophyta; Magnoliopsida; Arecales; Arecaceae
Description: long non-coding RNA (EGUI_LNC062727)
Source: RNAcentral
UCCAGCCAUCAACCUUCAACAAUGCCAUCCAGACUUCAACAGUGCCAGCCAGACCCCUCCAACGGAUAAAUUUUUUUCAGACCCCUCCAGCGUUCGACCUUCCACAGUGUCCUCCAGACUCCUCCAGCAGACGAACUUCCACAAUGCCUUUUGAAUUUCGUUAUCAGUUGACCUUCUGUCAGAUUCCUCAUGCAAUCGGAUCUCUCCAGCGGACAGUCUUCAGACAAGCUUCUACAUUAGACAAAUUCCAAACGGACUUCUCUAGC